This 1299-nucleotide ribosomal RNA is filed under the name Shigella sonnei. RNAcentral's name for it is "bacterial LSU rRNA". It matches the Rfam family "Bacterial large subunit ribosomal RNA", at positions 1649 to 2925 of the family's 2925-position model. Lineage: Bacteria; Pseudomonadati; Pseudomonadota; Gammaproteobacteria; Enterobacterales; Enterobacteriaceae. The record is from RNAcentral.
CCAAACCGACACAGGUGGUCAGGUAGAGAAUACCAAGGCGCUUGAGAGAACUCGGGUGAAGGAACUAGGCAAAAUGGUGCCGUAACUUCGGGAGAAGGCACGCUGAUAUGUAGGUGAAGUCCCUCGCGGAUGGAGCUGAAAUCAGUCGAAGAUACCAGCUGGCUGCAACUGUUUAUUAAAAACACAGCACUGUGCAAACACGAAAGUGGACGUAUACGGUGUGACGCCUGCCCGGUGCCGGAAGGUUAAUUGAUGGGGUCAGCGCAAGCGAAGCUCUUGAUCGAAGCCCCGGUAAACGGCGGCCGUAACUAUAACGGUCCUAAGGUAGCGAAAUUCCUUGUCGGGUAAGUUCCGACCUGCACGAAUGGCGUAAUGAUGGCCAGGCUGUCUCCACCCGAGACUCAGUGAAAUUGAACUCGCUGUGAAGAUGCAGUGUACCCGCGGCAAGACGGAAAGACCCCGUGAACCUUUACUAUAGCUUGACACUGAACAUUGAGCCUUGAUGUGUAGGAUAGGUGGGAGGCUUUGAAGUGUGGACGCCAGUCUGCAUGGAGUCGACCUUGAAAUACCACCCUUUAAUGUUUGAUGUUCUAACGUGGACCCGUGAUCCGGGUUGCGGACAGUGUCUGGUGGGUAGUUUGACUGGGGCGGUCUCCUCCUAAAGAGUAACGGAGGAGCACGAAGGUUGGCUAAUCCUGGUCGGACAUCAGGAGGUUAGUGCAAUGGCAUAAGCCAGCUUGACUGCGAGCGUGACGGCGCGAGCAGGUGCGAAAGCAGGUCAUAGUGAUCCGGUGGUUCUGAAUGGAAGGGCCAUCGCUCAACGGAUAAAAGGUACUCCGGGGAUAACAGGCUGAUACCGCCCAAGAGUUCAUAUCGACGGCGGUGUUUGGCACCUCGAUGUCGGCUCAUCACAUCCUGGGGCUGAAGUAGGUCCCAAGGGUAUGGCUGUUCGCCAUUUAAAGUGGUACGCGAGCUGGGUUUAGAACGUCGUGAGACAGUUCGGUCCCUAUCUGCCGUGGGCGAUGGAGAACUGAGGGGGGCUGCUCCUAGUACGAGAGGACCGGAGUGGACGCAUCACUGGUGUUCGGGUUGUCAUGCCAAUGGCACUGCCCGGUAGCUAAAUGCGGAAGAGAUAAGUGCUGAAAGCAUCUAAGCACGAAACUUGCCCCGAGAUGAGUUCUCCCUGACCCUUUAAGGGUCCUGAAGGAACGUUGAAGACGACGACGUUGAUAGGCCGGGUGUGUAAGCGCAGCGAUGCGUUGAGCUAACCGGUACUAAUGAACCGUGAGGCUUAACCUU